Molecule: ribosomal RNA, 55 nt
Filed under: Saccharomyces cerevisiae (brewer's yeast)
Lineage: Eukaryota; Fungi; Ascomycota; Saccharomycetes; Saccharomycetales; Saccharomycetaceae
Description: partial 18S ribosomal RNA
Source: RNAcentral
UGUCAUAGAGGACUAAGUCGUACCAGUUUCCGUAGUGAACCUGCGGAGAUCAUUA